Molecule: non-coding RNA, 934 nt
Organism: Ciona intestinalis (vase tunicate)
Lineage: Eukaryota; Metazoa; Chordata; Ascidiacea; Phlebobranchia; Cionidae
Source: RefSeq, a predicted model, not a curated record
GAAGCGGUACACAGGGUAGAAAGUGGUGGGUGAACGUAAGAUGACGUCAUCACGUAAAAGGGGGAUGCUCGAAUCCACGUUGUCGUUGGGUAAUGCAGUCAAUGAAUGGAGGACGGAAUCAAAGCAACAUUACCAUAACCAUGACCUUAAAUCAUGGGGACCUCGGUCGCUGGCGCAGAGGGAUUCUUAUUCAUGGACCGACGAAGACAGGAGAAAACUGACAGCACUCAGAGACGCAAAUAACUCUCAGGUUGCGCCUGAUAUUUCUCAUUACACGAAACUACCACCAAUAUAUGCGAGACCUGAGACACACAUGAAUGGACACAUAGACAAUUCAGGCGAAGGGAAAACAGAAAGGAAAUCUCACGACCGAAGAGCAAACGGGAGACGCACUCAGCGAUACAGUGACAACGAUGAUAUUUGAGAAACAAACUAUAUCGUCCACGAUGGGUAACUGCUGCGCAAGACAUAGUUGCACUUUGUAUGUUGGUAUGAACAUCGUAAUUAUAAAGUUUUAUAGCCAACAAGAAUAUCUUUGAAGCAACUUCUAAUAUUUGAAUACAGAACUCGCGUAAUUGUGCUUUUACAUUUCAUCAGAACACAGCAGGAAUGCUUCGUAACUUUAUAAUCAUUGUAUUUAUUAUUAUUGUUUAACUUUAAUGCAACAAGGCAGGCCACUCUCAACAGAGCGUCUCUUGUGUAACUUUCUAAACAGUGUUUCAUCCGAGCUGUGACUGACAGCAAAUUGUUAUCACCACUCUUGAUAACUGUCUUGAUUUAACCAGACAACCAUACAGAAGCAAAAUUAGUCAGCGGAUACUACUGUUGAUUGUUCAUUAAUUUCACGUGUCAACAUGGCUCCAACAUUCGCGUACUAGUAGAAGUUAAGCACCUACCUGUAUAAACGCAAUUCAUAAAUAAAUAAUUUACAUAA